Molecule: RNA transcript, 1882 nt
Organism: Chenopodium quinoa (quinoa)
Lineage: Eukaryota; Viridiplantae; Streptophyta; Magnoliopsida; Caryophyllales; Amaranthaceae
Gene name: basic leucine zipper 34-like
Exons: 6
Source: RefSeq, a predicted model, not a curated record
GCGUAGCUGUGUAGGUGCACCACCUUCACAAGUGCAAAGACACUCUAUUUUAAUUUUAUUAGAGUCAUCCCUUAACUAUCUUGCAACGUCUCUUAGCCUUUUAAAAAAUACCACUUUAUUCUAAACGAUAAAUAAUAACUCGAUGCUAAUGAUGGUUAUUCCCAAAGUUGACCACUCAAGAAUAGAGGAGUUAAAAACUAUUUUGAUCGAUUUGAUCCGAAAAAAAAAAAAAAAAAAUCUAAAUUCAUAUUUUAAUUUGUACAUACAUAAUAGUCUAGUACUUAUGCUUCAAAUUUGAAAUGACCAUGGCCGGACAUGACCCGACCUAACUGACCCUGAUCCAAUAACCCGAAUUGACACCGCUACAUAGAUCCCCCUUGGAAACCCAUUUGUCGUAACACGUGGAGUCUCUUGGACCUCAACAUGAACCAAUGAUGGGGCGAAAAGAGGACACAGCCCAUACCAAAGAGUUGGCCUUUUGGCUUCCUCAUAACAAAAGCGAGCUAAUUGCAGCUCUCUUCUUCCCAUCGUCCACUACUAACACCUUCAUCCUAAUUUUCUCUCUCUUUCUUGUUACCUUGCCAUACAUCUGAUUCUAUGCUAUGUAAAUUAUGAUUACUGAUAAUACUGGGAGCAGCAAAAGAUAACCCUUGUGUGACUAAACCAUGGAUAAUUAGUUGAACAAUUUAGUUUCAAGAUGUCACGACCGUCCCAACUUCCACCUCGGUGCCCAUUGCAAAAGAAAGCUGUUGCACACCAAACCCACGACCCUAGCUCGAUUUAUUCCCAAGGAGUUAAUAAGUCCAGUGCUAGACAUCAUAGAUCGUUAUCUCAAAGUUCGGUGUUGGAGGAACAACCAGCGUGGCUUGAUGACUUGUUAAGCAACUCGGACUCAGUUCCUAAAGGGAUUCGCCACUGUAGGUCGGCUAGUGAUUCGUUUGCUGUUUUGGAUGGUAUUGUCCCAAACUUACUUCUGUCUGCAAGUCAUGAGGAUGAACAAGUAGAGGAUAGUAACAUAUUGGGAUCUGGUUGUAUAUAUGGCCCUAAUUCUCCUCGUCGAAGAUCCACUGUAGAGUUUUUGGAUAACACAGUGCUUUUGGCAAUGUCUGAUUACGUUGAUCAAAGUCCAAUGCAAUUUGUCAAAGAGAAUCCUCGGAGUUAUGGGACUCGUUUGGACUUAAAGAAUGAUUUUUGUGAUGCACCCAGUUACUACAAUAUUGUUGCAAAAACUGCAAAGAGGCAUCCUGGACAGCGCUCUAGAGCUCGCAAGCUUCAGUACAUUGCUGAACUAGAAAGAACUGUGAAUGUGUUCCAGACGUUGCAAUCAGAGCUAUCAAUAAGGGUUUCUACCUUGCUUCAGCAAAAAGUUGGAUUGUCUCUGGAGAAUAACCAGUUAAAGCAGCAGGUGGCAAAGCUACAGCAACAAAAGCUGUUGAUGGAUGGCCAAAUAUAAUAAACUCAAGAACCUAAAGGUUCCAAAUUAUUGGACCUUUUCUGGCUGUCUCCCACUCAACAACUUGCUGUAUACCCACAAGGUUUGAUUGGUUUGCAACCACUCAACAUAAAAUAUUUUUUAUAAAGUCAAGUUGGCAACUGUGUAAUAUAGUCAUCUUUUGCUAAUAAGGUUGGAGCCAACUGAAUAGUUUGAUGUUUCAGUGCUAGUUUUGAUACGCUCUUGGGUAAGACCGUCUCAUUAAGAUUCAUCGUGAUUGGUGAGUGUGACACUAUAAGUUACGCUAAACAGUAUGAGGUCACCCUCUGAGAAUAUCAAACCCUGAGCAAAGAAGCUGAGAGGCUAAAGCUCAGCCUGGCAAAUUCUCGAAGCAGCACAAUCGACACAUAUGUUGGUUCAAAUGAGACUGAUUCUGGAGAAGUAUCAUGG